This is a non-coding RNA of Durio zibethinus, 521 nucleotides long. Lineage: Eukaryota; Viridiplantae; Streptophyta; Magnoliopsida; Malvales; Malvaceae. The record is from RefSeq and is a predicted model, not a curated record.
GGGCAUUUUAGGAGAUUCCCAAUAAUAGUAUUCUAGGGUUAGGGCGUUUAUUUUUCUGGUUCUCAGAUCUCACCGAAUUUCUGUCGCAAACCCUGACCCUAAAAUCCCAACCAUGUCGUCCAAGCAAGGUGGCAAAAUGAAGCCUUUGAAGCAACCCAAAUCUGAUAAGAAAGAAUACGACGAGCAUGAUUUGGCUAACAUUCAGAAAAAGAAGGAAGAAGAGAAGGCACUUAAGGAGCUGAGAUCAAAGGCACAACAAAAGGGUUCAUUUGGUGGUGCCGGUCUUAAGAAGAGUGGGAAGAAAUGAGGGUAUAAAACCCCAGAUAAACAGAAACUAUCGAGUCUUGUGUUGUGAGUAAAACUUAUAUUAUGUUGACAUCUUAUAUUUCCAGCGCGAUGGCCUAGGGCAUCGAUUGGGAUGAUUUGAUGAUUCUCUAGUUUCAAACUGAAUUUGCUAUUAAAUCUUGUGUGGGAUGUCGUUAUGUAAAACUUAAUAAAUUUAAGUUCUACGUUUGUGCUUU